UACCCGCUGGAUUUAAGCAUAUCAGUAAGCGGAGGAAAAGAAACUAACAAGGAUUGCCUCAGUAGCGGCGAGUGAAGAGGCAAAAGCUCAAAGUGAAAAUCUGCGGCGUUUCGUCACAGAAUUGUAAUCUAAAGAAUUUUGCAGAAGAAAUCAAUCCCGCAUAAUUGCCUGGAAUGGUAAAGCAAAGAGGGUGACACUCCCGUGUUUGGCGAGGAUUGAUUCGUAUGCAGGGUUUCUAAGAGUCGGGUUGUUUGGGAUUGCAGCCCUAAAUGGGAGAUAAACUUCUUCUAAGGCUAAAUAUUUAUGGGAGACCGAUAGCGAACAAGUACUGCGAAGGAAAGAUGAAAAGAACUUUGGAAAGAGGGUGAAAAGACUUGAAAUCGUUGAAAAGGAAGCGGUAGAAGAAAAUGAUUUGGAUAUGGAGUUUACUCUAAGGACGCCGGCUUGGUUAGUGUGGAGUGCUUUAUAGGCUUGCAUUGGCUAACGUAACGGAGUCCUGGAAGUAUUUUCAUGUCCAAGAGACAAAAUGAGGUUACCAUUGCGAGAAACACUAGGUGAGCAGACCCUGAUUUAUCAGGAGCUUGUUUAGAAUAUCGCAACGUUAGCCUGAGGGGCCUUAGUGGCGAUUUUGUCAAAAUGGCUUCUACCGGCCCGUCUUGAAACACGGACCAAGGAGUCUAACACGUAUGUGAGUUUGCGGGUGGAAAAACCCAUAAGCGAAAUGAAAGUGAGAAUAAGAUGGGAUGUCGAAAGACAGCAACAUCAGCCGACCCUGAUCCUCCGGUGAAGGGUUUGAGCGAGAGCAUACUUGUUAGGACCCGAAAGAUGGUGAACUAUACUUGAGUAGGGUGAAGCCAGGGGAAACUCUGGUGGAAGCUCGUAGCGGUACUGACGUGCAAAUCGUUCGUCAAACUUGAGUAUAGGGGCGAUAGACUAAUCGAACCAUCUAGUAGCUGGUUCCCUCUGAAGUUCCUCUCAGGAUAGCAGGAACAAGGUGCAGUUUUAUCAGGUAAAGCGAAUGAUUAGAGGAAUUGGGGUUCCAAGAGCCUCGACCUAUUCUCAAACUUUAAAUUGGUAAGAACCGUCAGUUUUCUUAAUUGAACUGAAGGAAGGAAUGCAUUGUUCCUAGUGGGCCAUUUUUGGUAAGCAGAACUGGCGAUGAGGGAUGAACCUAACGCUAAGUUAAGGCGCCUAAAUCCUCGCUCAUCAGACACCACAAAAGGUGUUGAUUCAUAUAGACAGCAGGACGGUGGCCAUGGAAGUCGGAAUCCGCUAAGGAGUGUGUAACAACUCACCUGCCGAAUGAAUUAGCCCUGAAAAUGGAUGGCGCUGAAGCGAGGUGCCGAUACUUAGCCAUCAGAGCAAAUGUGAGGCUCUGAUGAGUAAGAGGGCGUGGGGGUUGUGCAGAAGCCGUUGGCGUGAGCCUCGGUGGAACAGCUUCCAGUGUAGAUCUUGGUGGUAGUAGCAAAUAUUCAAAUGAGAACUUUGAAGACCGAAGUGGGGAAGGGUUCCGUGAGAACAGCAAUUGGUCACGGGUUAUUCGAUCCUAAGGCAUAGGGAAGUUCCUUGUAAUACAAGAGCGCUUCGCUCGUUGCCAAAAGGGAAUGCGGUUAACAUUCCGCAAACUGAACGUGGAUAAAGUGUGGCAACACAAGUGAGCUCGAAGACGUCGGCUCGGACCCCUGGAAGAGUUAUCUUUUCUUUUUAACGGGUUGUCGCCCUGAAAAUGGAUUAUCCAGAGCUAGGGCUUCAUACUCGGCAGAGCAGCACACUCUAAGUGCUGUCAGGUGCGUUCGGGACGAUCCAUGAAAAUUCGAGUAAGAGAUUUAUUCGCACGUCAGGUCGUACCAAUAACCGCAUCAGGUCUCCAAGGUU
RNAcentral lists this ribosomal RNA (1875 nucleotides) under Paraspathidium apofuscum. RNAcentral describes it as "eukaryotic LSU rRNA". It matches the Rfam family "Eukaryotic large subunit ribosomal RNA", at positions 22 to 1874 of the family's 3401-position model. The record is from RNAcentral. Lineage: Eukaryota; Ciliophora; Litostomatea; Haptorida; Paraspathidiidae.